AGACAAGAAAUACAUGAGAGGGAAAACGGAGGAACAACAUCUGCUGCCUGUGGGUGUAAUCAGACAACAUUUCAACUCAUUGAAGGAAGAAGAAGAAGAAGGGAAAAAAAGAAGAAGAAUCCUUGAAGCGGGGACAAGCUCCAGUCCAAUGUGAAAUUUGGCAUACCAGACAUGUCUUGGCUGAUCAGCGAGAUCUGAGGUAGGCAAAUUAGGCAGGACAGACUUUUCUUUCGAUAAAUCAUUACUAUAGGAAUCCUGGUCUAGUGGUUAAGAACGAUACGUAUUGAUAGAUUUUAACGCCUCUGGGGUCGUAGUAAUGUUUUAAAGCACUUGACUGGUUUGGUUUAUAAUAAUAAUGGAAAGACUGGUAAGAUUUUAAGUGCUUAUAUUCCUUUGUUAUAAAUGAAAUAUUGUCAGCUAACUAGCUGCAUCUAUGUUCAAUAUUUAAUAUUAUUGGAGAAUGCUAUUAGUACUUAAAUAGUUAGACAUGUCCAAUCCAUCUAAGCUGACAGAUAUGUAUGACUUCAACCCUGAAACAAAUGUGGCCCUGUUGUCUUGGCGAUUAUCCUCCCCCAUGAGGUCAGUAGUCAUUGGUGAAGGUGUUCACCUUGUUCACAUUUAUUUAAAAAGCCGUCUAGCUAACCUUCUCAAACUGCCAUCAGGUUUGUUUAGAUUUAAACUUGGACAGAUGAUGAAUGCUGAUGGCUGUAGUAGGAAUAAGACCCACAACCAAACCAUUUGAUGUCUCAUGUUGGGGUUCUUCAGGCUGCUCAGGUGCUUGCUUGGUCUGUGGUCAUUUCAAGACUGGACUACUGCAGCUCUCUGGUCUGGUCUACCUCUGGUCUUCCGCUGAUGGAGGUGGUGGUAGCUCAAGUGGUUAAGGCUCUGGGUCGUGGACCGGAAGAUCGGGCCCCAGCACUGCCAAGCUGCCACCAUUGGGCCCUUGACCAAGGCCCUCAACCCACCUUGCUCCAGGGGUGCUGCAUCAUGGCUGACCCUGUGCUCUGACCCCAAUUUCACUGUGCAGUAAGGUAUAACAACCUUUUCAACCUGCCCCAGUUCUCCUACACCACCCCACUGCUGCUCCUCUACUGGCUUCUGGUAGCUGCGGUAUCAGAUUCAGAACACUGAUGCUUGCCUAAAAAGCCAAGAAUGGACCAGCUCCAUCUGACCUCAAAGCUCUUAUUACUCCUCACACUGCACCUUGCUCCCUCAGGUCCACUAGCUCUGCUCCACUGGUCCCACCAUCUCUCAGGGUAAGAGGUAGGUCAACAUCUAGACUCUUCUCUGUUCUGGAACCGAGGUGGUGGAAUGAACUUGCCCUAGAUGUCCGAACAGCCGAGUCACUGACCAACUUCAAACGGCGGAUGAAGACCUACCUCUUGCUGAAACACUUAAACUAGCUUUGUUUUAUAUGAUGUUGUAUGUUGUAUGUAGAUUUUUAAAAAACAGUUUGCAGUUUUUCAGCUGAUGGUAUCAUAAAUCUGUGAUCUAAUGAACCAAUGUUAAUGUGUUCACUGACAGAGACUUCAAAGCACUCUUGUACAUCGCUGUGGAUAAGAACAUCUGCCAAAUGCCAGAAAUAAAUGAGCCCUUACACUGCAGACAACCAACACAGCCCUUUCUCCACCAAGCACCAUUACAAGUGUCUUACUUCCUUACAGUUUCUAUGAAAAAUAACACAGUCAAGUUUGUUCAAUCCAGUGAAUAUUUACUGUUCUACAAAAACUGUGUAUGUAUAUACAGAAAUGAAGAUACUGAAGAUUUGAGAUUUGGAAGCACGUGGGAAGAAAAGCAUUAGACUCCACAGACAUCAUGUUCCUGUGAACUAAAACAGAAUCAUUUACAGUCCUUCAAAACAGAUGAUCCAAUCCCACUCUUCUGUUUAGACCUGGAAUUUAUUAUUGUUGUUUUCUGCAGAUGUUCAGAUCACCCAGAACCAUCCAAAUACUCUACCAAGCGAGGAGGAGCGUGGGAAUUAGCUCUAAUCAUCUUCGGAGGAUGAUGAAGAGAGAUUUGAUUCUACAGGGCGUACUUACUUUUUUUUAUCCACUGAGCAACGUCUCGUCUUCUACAGCUGUCUGUUUAACCAACACCAAUAACCUCAAGCCAACUGAUCACAAUCUCAUCACCCCCGAAAUGCAGAAUAAAGAGACAAGAACGAGAACCUUUUAAAAAGGUGCGUGUCCCAACACAGGAUAGCGAAUUCCUUUGGACAAGACUAAUCUGGAUUUAAUUACAGCCGUGGGUUUUCAGUGUCUUGCAGACCCCUUUGCUCAUCACGUCUUGUUGACUUUACCUGCUCUCGAGACGCAGUGUCUAAUUUGACGAUCACUUAAUUAACCGAGCCCUUCAUUAUAGAUCAGGCGAAGUCAACUUUCACAUAGUUGGACGGACAGAGACGUCGGACAGUUACACAGAAAGAGUAGGAAGCUUGAGAAGCCGUCCUGAAUAGAGGAGGAGGAUCAGAUCCACCACUUAUCUGUUUACAAGGACGUCCUAACGUGUAUUUAUACAUCACACCUGCAGACAGUCGUGUGAUUUUAAUGACAACCCUAGUCUCAGACGAAGGAUUAAACCCCAGUGAAUUCCCAGCCUUCAGUUUAGCCUAAUCAUUCCUGUUAAUAAGUUUCAUCUAUACUCCAUGCCCUCUCCACUUUUCACUCUCACACACUUUCUGUCCUUUGAAUCAUUUUCCCCCCUCUUUUCCUAUAAACUAUUAGAGAAGUUUCUGUCCCAUCAAAGAACCCCAUUUCCCCAGAAAGUUGAAAAAGAUGAAAGGAUAAGAAGGAGAAAAGGGGACAAAAGAGCAAGGUGUUGAGUUACAAGCCUGCCCCUCUGAGAGUGUCCAUGAAAGAGUCUGGGCAUGGGAGAGAUGGACGAGACAGAGAAUGACAGAAAGACUUGCAGAAUGAAAGGAAGAGUGAGUCAAACAGGUAUGAACUCAGACACACACACACAGGAACUUUUAUCAGCUUUUUUUGGAAAUAGCCUGAAAAUACAUUCUCUUAACACACCCACGGAAGAAAGCGGUCCUCCUCGUGAGCUUUCCCUUCCUCCCUGUGGUAUUCCUCCCUGUUGGCAUUUGGUAGUCGUUCCCUCGUAAUCUCCGUCUCCCUCCCACCAUUCUGCAUCUCUGGCUGUGUUUCGACUUGCCUCGUAUGCACUUAGAUAUUUCAGCCCCAGGGUCUACAGCUACAGAUAAAGGCAGAGAGGCGAAAAGAGAGGUGAGAGAAGAGACAUUUUUUCCGAAAGGUGCUGCAGGAUAUAGUCACGCAGGGCGACAAAAGUUUAGAACGCUUUCACUCGUUUUUUACAUACUUGAGCAGAAAUGAAUACACACUCAUCCCCUGACUCAUACACACACACACUCUCACUCACUCAUUUGCUCCACUGCUCACAAACUGUUCCACGUUCCUGCUCUCGGGCCAUUCACAAGAAAGCUAGAAGGCUUUGUCACGUCUCUGAACCAGCAAUUCCCGUUUACACAAGGAGCAUUUUUACACCCUAAACCUCAGAUGCUUAUUCAGACACUCCUCUUGCGCACACACACACACACACACACCUGAAAGUGACAAAAGAGUGGAUAUUUACAACCAGAGCUGGUUUUUCUGUUUCAGCUUCCAGAUGAAGUGAUUGACACGCUUUCGAACACAUCAUUUUAAUGUCAAUACACCACCAGAAAUUAAACUCCCAAGCGGUGAGGAAAUAAAUCUGACCCUAAAGCUCUACUUCCUCCCGUUUUUUUUUUUUUUUUUCUGUAGUGACGCUUUAUGAAUGUAACUGAGUCAGGUUCAUUUCCCCAGACGUGGAAAUCCCAACCCUGUGCAAUCACAAUCUGUAAUGUAGCUAUUAUGGCAAUUAUUGAAAAUAGAGCUGUCAGGGAAACGAACGCUCUGUUCACACACACACACACACACAUGUCUCGGGCUUACUUCAACCUGAGGUUAACCUUAAGGUCAAUUACAGACCUCUUUGCCACGCAGGGUCCAACCCUCAUUAAAUCCUUUCUUUCUUGUAAUCCCAUUUUCUCCGUCUUUGCCAAUCCUCAAAAAUCUCUCUUUCCCCCCCAGCAACACUCACCUCACGUCACCCCCACCGCCCCACACACCCUCCCUAUCCACCACACUGCCACCUUCAGAACCAUUAAAUCUCCCCGUGUGUUCCCUUUCCCACCCCCUCGCAUGUGUUUCCAAUUUCAGCCACGCCGUUCGGCUUGCCGCAGCCUGACCUAAUUCUCCUGGACCUGCCCCAACAGCAGCAAAAAACCACCAAGGCAGGCAAGGUAGAGGUCAAAGGUCAAGGGAUGCCAGCAGGUACAACAGUCUCAGAUGGAUAGGUCUCUCAUGCCUCCAGCCAGCCAGAUAGUGUGAACCUUCCCUCAUUUCGAAAAACUCAUGGUUCACACCCAGCCAUGCAUCCGAGCUCGUUGAUGAGGUCGCCAGAGCCUGAAAUUGGAUUCGAAGGUCAGAGGUCACAAGUUCAGGGCACUUGUAUAUCCAAACACGAGACAAGCUACAUGCUCAUCACUCAUCAGCGUCCACUUGAAUGAGCAAACAGAUGUACAGAUAAUACAAUGGACGUGUGUUAUUUCAGCAAUGCUCGGAAAGGUCCAGGAAUGAGAGGUGGCAGUGAGGGAUUUAUGAGGUUCAGGAGGAGGUUCUGCUUGGAAGAAGGCCUUUAUUAUGGGAACAGCAGGUUUUCUUCAAUUUGUCUGAUGGCUGAUUAGAACCAGGUUUAACCCUAAAGGACAGUGAAGGAGUUGAGGGUGACGGGGUGCGACUUCACACUGCGGAUCUUUAUGAUGUCUGUGUGCUGAGUUUAUAAUAGUGAAUAGAGCGCGUAUCUAAAACCACAGGAUUUUAUGACCUCCAUGCAUUCAGCAUUCCUGUCUCGCUUUUCCCUCAGCAUGAUCACAUCCCCAUUCCUCACUCAACAUUAUUUCAUAAUCAUAUCCGCUCGUGCAAGGUAUCUAGCUUAAUAAUGAUAACAUCUGUGAUGCGGUUAGGUUUAUGAGACAAGUUCAAUUUCGAAUUCCGUCACCGCGUCAUAUCGCUGGCUUGAGCUGGCUGAUUUUACAAGACCAAGCCAUCUUGUCUGCUCAGCAGAAAUGAUCCAAAAGCAACUAGUCGAACUUGUUUGUCUGCAUCUCCCUGAAGAGUCGGACCACCGUUACGAAUGAAACGUUUCCCAGGAAUCGGAUAAGAUCUGAAAUCGGCUCAGCUUGUGUGUUUUAGUGUUUUGUUUUUUCGCUGUGAGAAACCUAAGGCUUUGCUCCAUUACUGCUCUGCUACGACGCAAUGCAAGUUUUUAAUUAAGCGAUACGCGAAAGACAUUUUCCACUACAAAUGGUUUGUUUGUAAUGAAAUGUUUGGAUUGGAUUUUCUUCUCUGCUCCGACUGGCUUUAGUUAUUCGCUAGAAUUCUAAACAUGUAAGAUCCACUUGCUUCAGGAGGAGAGUUUCGGUUUUCCCAUCGCCGUUGCGUUAGAUCAGUUCAAUCAUACGUCCCUUUAAUACGUCUGGAGCCGGUUUACAAGUCGUAUCACGUUUAAAGCCAUUUUUUUCCCGUCUCGUGGAAAUAUCCCACUGCAGACUUGAAUACGUUGUUUGGUUUCGGUCGGGUGAUUGGUAACAGCCAGAGCACAUGGUCAAGAUUCUUGCACGUCACAUGGACCAUGCUCCAAAGCUUUUCUGAAACGUUGACUCAUCUCACACAAGAUUUUCCAGUCAGAUCUCAUUGUCCAGAGCAGGUAACGUUGAGCAAACACUCCCCCGAGUCAAUCCGCCCCCUCAGGAAACGCUCAGAGCUUUGAUGAGCUCACUUGUCUUCCUGUGAGUCCAUACAAUGUCCUCUGAAGUACCUGUGACCUUGAAUUCGGAUCGCUACCUCAAGCUGACUUUGUGGAACGUUUCUGUUGAUUCCAGACUGUUCUGUCGACUUUACUGAUACAUCAGACUUUUAUUAUGGAAUAUAUUUUGACAGGUUUAGCUGCAGUUCGAUAACUCAGACCUAGUUGCUAAGGCUAAGCUCGGGUUCAGCAGCUCAAACUCAGUUACUACGUCAACACUGUUUAAAAAUCCAAUCUAAGAAACAAAUCAGAUUUCCCCCUAAAGUCACAUGGGACAAUAUAUAGAGAUGUCCUUAGUCUAUAUUAGUAAUAUUUUGGCAUGUUACAUCGUCCUCGCUCCUCAGAGUGAAGAUUUAAAGCUCUUCCUCUUCAGAAAGGAUAACAUCUUGAUCUUGCUUUCUCUGCAUUUACCUGAAGUUAAUCACAUACUGUUCUGUUUUUUAUACAUAAAGGGAUGUAAUUAGGGUCCAAAAAUCAGGGUAUAUUUAUGAGAAGAAAGAAUCAUUUCUUUGUGCAUUUUUAAAAUUUUAUUUAUUUUAUUGUGCCCGACUUCAGAAACACACAAGAUGCUGUAAUCAAGGUUAUGACAUCAUAAUGUGAUCACAUGAUUUAGAUUAUUUGUUAAUUAGACCUUUAGUUUACUUUUCAUUUGCUAAAUGAAUAAAAUAAUGUUUCAGGUUUUUGUUUAUUCCAAUUGCUUUCCUCAGGUUUGCUGAUUCAGAGUUAGCAUCAUAAAAACAUUUCCUAUGCUCAUUUACUAUGUGAUUAUGUUGAUGUUCUAUAAUAUACUGUGUAUUCUUUUAUACACUGAUCAGGCAUAACAUUAUGACCACCUACCUAAUAUUGUGUCGGUCCCCCUUUUGCUGCCAAAACAGCCCUGACCCGUCCUGCACUGUGUAUUCUGACCCCUUUCUAUCAGAACCAGCAUUAACUUCUUCAGCAGUUUGAUCAACAGUAGCUCGUCUGUUGGAUCGGAUCACACGGGCCAGCCUUCUCUCCCCACGUGCAUCAAUGAGCCUUGACCGUCUAUGACCCUGUCACCGGUUCACCACUGUUCCUUCCUUGGUCCACUUUUGAUAGAUACUGACCACUGCAGACCGGGAACACCCCACAAGAGCUGCAGUUUUGGAGACGCUCUGAUCCAGUGGUCUAGCCAUCACAAUUUGGCCCUUUUGGUCAAACUCGCUCACAUCCUUACUCUUGUCCAUUUUUCCUGCUUCUAACAUCAACUUUGAGGACAAAAUGUUGACUUGCUGCCUGAUAUAUCCCACCCACUAACAGGUGCCAUGAUGAGGAGAUACUCAGUCUUAUUCACCUCACCUCUCACUGGUCAGUGUUAUACCUGAUUGGUGUACAUAGCACUUUUAAUAAUGGACAUUGUCUCAAAGCACCUUUACAGGACAUAAGAAAUAUAGAACAAAAAGUUCAAGAUUAAUAUUAGACUUAUAUUUAAAUUUAUUUGUAUUAAUCCAUAGUGAGCGAGCCUGAAGCAACUGUGGCAAGGAAAAACUCCCUUAGAUGCUAAGACGAAGAAACCUUGAGAGGAACCAGACUCAGAAGAGAACCUCAUCAUCAUUUGGGUGACACCAGAAGGUGUGAUUAUAAAUAAUGUCCUUUCUUCAGUCAUUGGAGUUCCUGAGCGACUCAUAAAUUUGCCCAACAUCUGAGUUCAUUAUAGAAUCAACACCAACUCCUCCAUGCCUUCAGAUGCUCAAUGAUGGAGAUACAGCAUGUGUAGAAUGUUAUUUUGUGUAUUGAUUAGGAGAUUGUUGUCCUCAAAGUCCACAUGGAGUUUGCAUCUUUUCUUCGAAUCUUCAUGAAGCAGAAUCCAACUGGAGCUGGUACAUCUCUGGAUGCCUCAGGAUCCUCGCAAGGUUGGCCUCUUCUCACUGAAGGUCCGAAUUUUUCAUAAAGAAUACAAUCAUCUUAAAAUCUCGCCUAAAAGAGCUAGUUUAAGCGUUCAGGAAGAGGUAGGUCUCCAUCUGUCUUUUAAACUUUUAGGGGAACCACCUCGGUGCCAGAACAGAGAAGAGUCUAGAUGGAUACCUACAGAGAGAUGGUGGGAGCAGAGAUGAUCUCUAACAUCUCUUCUACACACACAAAGUCUAUAGCUGAGGUCUGAAUGAUCCAGUUCACAGCGUUGACUGAUCUUAACUCUGAACUGACUUUAAAUCUGUCCUUUUUGUCACUUUUUUUCUGCUUAUACACAAAUAUUUUGUGACUAUCUAAACAACUCUUAUACACUUCUACAAACCAACAGCUUCAUGUCUUUAAGGUUCUGAACCCUUACAGAUGCUUUCCAGGCUUUUUCCAGUGCUUUAAACUGCUCUGGAUCAAAAAAAGUCCCCCAUUCAUCAAAAAUAAACAAUUUAUAAUUAAAUGGAGAACAUUUUAUGCAAAUCCAGUGUAACUCUAUGGGUUUUCCAACACUGGGAACUUUUAGCCUGUGUGCUGAUAAGGAUCUUCGUCUCUUCUCUGACCGCACUUCAAACCGAGCGAAUGAAUUAACUGGCCCCUGUAUUUACUCCCAGAGAGAACACUCCAGCACAGAUCUUUGUGGAUAUUUCCCCCGAAAUAGCAAGUACUCUGUGUAUUAUCUGGACAGUGUUUUUAAACAUGCAGAUCUGAUUGAUUCUAUGGACAUAAAAUCCUUCCUACACACACACAUUCACUGUGUAACACAUUGUAAACGCUUCGGACCGGCGGUGUGGAGUUUCAGCGGCCGGCUUUGUGUUUAAACCACUCCGGCAAUUAGCGAGGGAUAGACUUACAGCACAUCCGUCACACAAAAGAGAGAGAGAGAGAGAGAGAGAGAGAGGGAGAGAGAGAAAAAUUGAGAGAGAGUGAGAAAAGUGAGGGAGAGAGAAAAAAAGUGUGUGUAUGAGACAGAGAGAGACAGACAGAGAAAGAUAUAAAAAUUGAGUGACAGAGAGAAAUUUAAAAGUGUGUGUGUAUGAGAGAGAGAGAGAGAGAGAGAGAGAGGGAGAGAGAGUUUCAGAGAGAGUUCUUCAGGCCUUUCCAUCUGGCCAUCCUUUGGGACAGGGUGUGUGUGUGUGUGUGUGAAAGAGAGACAACGGAAUGUGUGUGUACACGUUUGCCUGUUUUUGCGUGUGUGGGACGUGGGAUCGCUUGUGAGUGAGUGAUGAGUGCAAGUGUGUAUUCUGCGCCACUGUGCUCUUUGUUCAUGCGUAUAAUCGUAGUAUUGCUUCUCAUUCAUGUGAGUGUGUGGUAUGAGGAAGAGAGAGAGAGAAAGAGAGAGAGAGAGAGAUAAGGAGAGAUAGAGAGAGAUUUAGCCUAAUUAAGGGAUCUUCCUAAACCCCACCUUAGCUGUAUGGCUUUACAGUAAAGCUGAUGGUAUAUCUGCUGGAGCUGCGGCUAAUCCGGUCUGCCUCAGUCCUCUGGCAGCAACCCCCCCCCCACCCCCGUGGCUAACGUGACAGCUCUAUAGGAACGCCACUCCUUUAUAGGAACUUCAGUUUUUUAUAGGAACUCCACUCCUUUAUAGGAACUCCACUCCUUUAAAGCGUUCCUCUGUCCAGCGUCUGCUUGUUUAGGGAAAGUAAAGGAAACGUGUAGCUCUGAACUUCACUGACCAGCCUGAAUAUCACACCCACUGGCAGGUGACUUACACUGACCAUCUAACCAUCUGAUUAUAGUCACACCUGUCCUCAAGACAAAAAGCUCUUCUCUUUCCUUUACCUUGUAUUCUGUUUUCUUUCUUUCUUUCUUAUCUCUGAUUACAGUCACACCUGUCUUUCAGCAGUGAGAUAUUGUUCUGCAGAAGUCAGCUGAACUCAAAGCAGGAAAAAUUGGAAAGUCUGAAGGAUCUGAGCGAUUUAGACAAGGCACAGAUUGAGAUGUCUAGACGACUUCUCCAAAACAGCAGCUCUUCUGUGGUGUUCCAGAUGUGCAGGGGUUAGAACUGACCAAAAGUGCUCCAAAGAAGGACAAGCGGUGAAUCAGUGUCGGGGCAUCCAAGGCUCUGAUGAACCUUCAUCUAAGGCUCCAAGGCUCUAACUGUCUGGUCCCAUCCCACAAAAGAUCUACUGCUGUAGAAGAAUGCCAUCAGAAUGACCAUGCUGACUCCUGGACACCACCCAAAGCUCCUACAAAGGACAUGUGAGCAUCAGAACUGGACCAUGAAGCAGUGGAAGAAAGAAGGCCUGGUCUGAUCGAUCACGUGUGGAGGUUCGGUGUGUGCGUGCGCCAGAAGACAUUACACCAGGAUGCACUAUGGGAAGGCAGUGUGAUGUUCUGGACAAUGUUCUGCUUGGAAACCUCAAGUCCUGCUGUUCAUGUGAGACACAUAGCACCUACCUAAACACUGCUGCAGACCAAGUUCACCCCUUUAUGCUAAUGUAUUCCCUUUUAGCCUCUUCCAGCAGGAUGAUGCUCACUGACACACUGCAGGCAUUCUUCAGGAGAAGUUUGAGGAACACGAGGAAAGAGUCCAAGGUGUUAGCCUCCAAAUUUCCCAGAUCUCAAUAUGAUAGAGUGUCUGUGGGAGUAUAAAGUCAGAAGUCAGCUAAAGUCAGAACUUACUGGACCUCCCGCUAGCAUCUUGGUGUCAGAUACCACAACACACCUUCUGAGAGUCCACAUCUUCAGUCAGAGCUGUUUUGGUGACAUGAGCAGGAUCUACACCAAAUAAGGUUUUAAUGUCCUUUGGAUGUCCGGGCUUAAAGAUCUUGGAAUUUCUUCUGUUUACUCCAAGUGAAAAAUCUCUGUUGUUUUUGUAGUAGUAGUGAGUCAUACAACUUGGAAUAGGAAUCUAUCUAGAAAGUGAUUCAACUCUGAUUCAACCAGCAGGAAGUGAAUCAAUCAUGGGGUGGGUUUUGGGUUGCAGCAUGUUUUAAGUUUUUAAAAGCUAGAAAUGUAAUGCAGCAGAAAUGCCAUUCUU
Long non-coding RNA from Hemibagrus wyckioides, 10750 nucleotides. RefSeq lists it as uncharacterized. Lineage: Eukaryota; Metazoa; Chordata; Actinopteri; Siluriformes; Bagridae. The record is from RefSeq and is a predicted model, not a curated record. The transcript has 3 exons.